CGGACAACAGUACAUGAGACUCCAGUUGCUUAUUUGCUGAAUUUUUAUGUUACUGUCUGAGAAGAUUUGAAGGGUGGACCUCUACUUGUCCCUUUGCUUCAACUACAGGCAGGAAAGUGCUUCGGCAUCUCACUCAGAUUCUUCAAAAGCACCACUGUCUUAACAUAGUUUGUGGUUGCAUCAUCAUCUUCCAUAGCACAUUAAUUCCUAGAGAUUCAGUGGAUCUCAAAUGGAAGAGUACUACUCUAUGUUACUGCAGGCCUGAGCUGGGGAUGUUAUUGCUUAAUAUAGGUAAUUUAAUAUUGUGAAUUACAUUAAAGAUAUCUUGAGACAAUCAUUUAAGGAGAAGUUUGUGUAAUAACAUUUAUCAAUGUAUUCUGCAAUAUUAAAGAAGAGGCAUAUUUUGAAUUAUUAAGCUAUAUUUCUCUUUUGAGAUGUAAAUCAAGUGAAUUUUCACUUCAAAUAAAUCUCCAAAACCUCAAGGGCUUCUUGCUUCCUCCUGUACUUCUCCCAAUUCAAUUGCAUUCUUGAUUACCCUCCAAAAUCUAUUCAUUUAUGCUGAUUGUUAAAUAUCCUCUCCCAAUUUCCACUAACUACAUCAUUAUCAGCCUUACAGCAGCAGGACCAUUUAUCCUGUCCUUUAUUGUGCUCUCAUAUUACCAUCCCUCCUCUCUUCUGAACACUGACCUUGACCUUCUCCACAAGUCCUCUGUCUUUUCUACUGUCAAAACCUCCUUCACUGUUUAUUUCUACUUGAUCUGAUUUUGACUGGAUUUAACCAAACAUCUGCUAGGUGUCAGGUGAUCAACAGUAAACCUGAAGAUUUCAUUUUAAUGAACCUUCAAAAGUUUUUUAGUCCUUUGAGAGUGUAUUCUGUGGUGAUGAUGUGAGAAAGCAAGAACAUUUGUUUGGAUUUUUUUUUUUUCAAUUUUUUUAUAUGGCUUUAUAUAGAAUUUGGAAUAAAAAAUGUUAAGAGGGGAAAAUGUGAUCAAUUUUCUAAGGUAAAGAAGUGAAAGCAGAAGGAC
Neopsephotus bourkii (Bourke's parrot) is the source of this 1025-nucleotide long non-coding RNA. RefSeq lists it as uncharacterized. Lineage: Eukaryota; Metazoa; Chordata; Aves; Psittaciformes; Psittacidae. The transcript has 3 exons. The record is from RefSeq and is a predicted model, not a curated record.